Molecule: ribosomal RNA, 453 nt
Filed under: uncultured Sphingomonas sp.
Lineage: Bacteria; Pseudomonadati; Pseudomonadota; Alphaproteobacteria; Sphingomonadales; Sphingomonadaceae
Description: partial 16S ribosomal RNA
Source: RNAcentral
CACGGAGUUAGCCGGAGCUUAUUCUCCCGGUACUGUCAUUAUCAUCCCGGGUAAAAGAGCUUUACAACCCUAAGGCCUUCAUCACUCACGCGGCAUUGCUGGAUCAGGCUUUCGCCCAUUGUCCAAUAUUCCCCACUGCUGCCUCCCGUAGGAGUCUGGGCCGUGUCUCAGUCCCAGUAUGGCUGAUCAUCCUCUCAGACCAGCUACGGAUCGUCGCCUUGGUAGGCCUUUACCCCACCAACUAGCUAAUCCGACGCGGGCUCAUCCUCUGGCGAUAAAUCUUUGGACUUACGUCAUCAUCCGGUAUUAGCUGUCGUUUCCAACAGUUAUCCCAGACCCAAAGGGCAGAUUCCCACGCGUUACGCACCCGUGCGCCACUAUGCCCGAAAGCAUCGUUCGACUUGCAUGUGUUAGGCAUGCCGCCAGCGUUCGUCUGAGCCAGGAUCAAACUCU